UACGUAGGGUGCGAGCGUUAAUCGGAAUUACUGGGCGUAAAGCGUGCGCAGGCGGUUUUGUAAGCCGGAUGUGAAAUCCCCGGGCUUAACCUGGGAAUGGCAUUCGGGACUGCAAGGCUGGAGUGCGGCAGAGGAGACUGGAAUUCCUGGUGUAGCAGUGAAAUGCGUAGAUAUCUGGAGGAACACCGGUGGCGAAGGCGGCGUUCUGGACUGUUUCUGACACUGAAUAACGAAAGCCAGGGGAGCAAACGGG
RNAcentral lists this ribosomal RNA (253 nucleotides) under uncultured bacterium. Its description in RNAcentral is "partial 16S ribosomal RNA". It matches the Rfam family "Bacterial small subunit ribosomal RNA", at positions 524 to 776 of the family's 1533-position model. The record is from RNAcentral.